AGUCGAGCGGACAGAUGAGAGCUUGCUCCCUGAUGUUAGCGGCGGACGGGUGAGUAACACGUGGGUAACCUGCCUGUAAGACUGGGAUAACUCCGGGAAACCGGGGCUAAUACCGGAUGGUUGUUUGAACCGCAGGUUCAGACAUAAAAGGUGGCUUCGGCUACCACUUACAGAUGGACCCGCGGCGCAUUAGCUAGUUGGUGAGGUAACGGCUCACCAAGGCAACGAUGCGUAGCCGACCUGAGAGGGUGAUCGGCCACACUGGGACUGAGACACGGCCCAGACUCCUACGGGAGGCAGCAGUAGGGAAUCUUCCGCAAUGGACGAAAGUCUGACGGAGCAACGCCGCGUGAGUGAUGAAGGUUUUCGGAUCGUAAAGCUCUGUUGUUAGGGAAGAACAAGUGCCGUUCAAAUAGGGCGGCACCUUGACGGUACCUAACCAGAAAGCCACGGCUAACUACGUGCCAGCAGCCGCGGUAAUACGUAGGUGGCAAGCGUUGUCCGGAAUUAUUGGGCGUAAAGGGCUCGCAGGCGGUUUCUUAAGUCUGAUGUGAAAGCCCCCGGCUCAACCGGGGAGGGUCAUUGGAAACUGGGGAACUUGAGUGCAGAAGAGGAGAGUGGAAUUCCACGUGUAGCGGUGAAAUGCGUAGAGAUGUGGAGGAACACCAGUGGCGAAGGCGACUCUCUGGUCUGUAACUGACGCUGAGGAGCGAAAGCGUGGGGAGCGAACAGGAUUAGAUACCCUGGUAGUCCACGCCGUAAACGAUGAGUGCUAAGUGUUAGGGGGUUUCCGCCCCUUAGUGCUGCAGCUAACGCAUUAGGCACUCCGCCUGGGGAGUACGGUCGCAAGACUGAAACUCAAAGGAAUUGACGG
RNAcentral lists this ribosomal RNA (874 nucleotides) under Bacillus siamensis. RNAcentral's name for it is "bacterial SSU rRNA". It matches the Rfam family "Bacterial small subunit ribosomal RNA", at positions 60 to 916 of the family's 1533-position model. Lineage: Bacteria; Bacillati; Bacillota; Bacilli; Caryophanales; Bacillaceae. The record is from RNAcentral.